This is an RNA transcript of Panicum virgatum (switchgrass), 3138 nucleotides long. RefSeq lists it as uncharacterized. The record is from RefSeq and is a predicted model, not a curated record. Lineage: Eukaryota; Viridiplantae; Streptophyta; Magnoliopsida; Poales; Poaceae. The transcript has 6 exons.
CUCAUAUCACAUUCUUUCUGAAUAGAGUUACUGAUUUCUUACGCCUGACGCUCUAUGUUCAAUUUGGCUUCGACUUUAUGUACUCCAUUAAACUUGGAGAUUGAUGGGGCGUUAUUGCUUAUUGGAGCUCUGGUUAAGAUAGUUGCCAAACGAGGUGACGAUCUAUUUUUUUCGAGAUAGCUAGAGUUGGGCACCACUGAUGCACUAGAUCUAAUCCACGCAUAUGCUACAUCUUUAUCUGCAGAGUUGGUUGUUGGAGUCAGGAUGGAGCUCCACAGAGUUUAUUAGUGAUUCUUGCUGCGGAACUUGGAACAGGCAGCCAAGGUCUUCCAUUGGCAAGAAUUCUACAUGAAGAAUAUUACACCUGUCCAUCCUGCACGCCAUGUGUUCGUAUAUAUAGUGGUACUAUGGAUCUGGUAUGCAGUUGGUUUCAACAAGAAGUCAAUGGCGUGCUGCAUCUCUUUGAUUCAGUCGAUGACCCUAUCAUGCAUGGACACAGACAUGAUGAUGAGUCGAUGCACCACAGGCUUGUUGCACUCAAAUUUGAGAAGCUCAAUGAACUUGAGAGUGCCCGCAACAGCUAUUUCAACCUUCUUAACAGUGUCAUCUAUGCUAAUGGUUGUUCCCUUGCAUGACAGAUACAGUGCAGUAGCAACCUUGAUACGUUUGAAAGUGUUGCUGGAAUUGACUAGGGCAGAACUCACCUCAUCAGUGCGAUAUCUCCAGUCACGCAGCACCCAGCCUCCUUCACAUGCUGCAUCCUCAAGCUUACUGAUCCCGUGGAGCAGCCAUGAGUUCGUAAUGGCCCGCCCUUUGGCUGCCUCCAGCCUCCAGGGCAGCAUGGAUUGUGAUGAGGAGCUGCCGCAGCUGCUGCAGUUUCUCUUCGAUGCCAUUCUGGUGGUUGUACUUUUCUACCAAGGGGGAGAUGAUUUUUUGGAAAAUCUCUCCUGCAACCACUGAGCAGAUAACUUCCAGCAGAUCCACCAUCCUUUAUUGCAAUAUUUGAGAUCAAUGAUAAUAGAGCCUUGAGUAGUUCUAUUGAAGACUCAAAGCCAAACAUUUGCUAACUUAUGAUGGAAUGGAUGAGCUCAAAUCGUUGACAAACAGGGAGUCAAAGAAAUACCUAUUUCAUGUAUCCUUUUCCAACUUUUAUAUUUAUAGAAGAUAGUAUAAUCCCUUUUCAAGGGAAAGAUUAUCUUGCCAGUUACUACUCCAAGAGAAAAGUGCACUACUGGUUCUUUGUAUCAAAGAUCUUGACAGAUGUCUAACUGUUGAUGUACUGAUGUAUGCACUGGGUAGUUUCUUUUCUGAAGCUUCAAAUAAUGUUAAAAUAUGUGCAGGAAAGAAAUAUUUGUGUGUCUUUCUCAUGCCCCUUGUGGAGGCUUGAUGGAUGGAUUUUUUUUUUCUUGCUGAAUUGUCCUUAGUGUUACUUUGAUACUAUCUGUUGAGAUGUUGCUAUCAAUCCUGUACAUACUACAUAAGGCAUACGAUACAACAUUCUUAGUAACCUUCUGAGGUUUUUCAUAGCUACCACUUUGCAUUUGAGAUCACCAAUUUGGUGAAAGUACUGGUGAUUAGGCGUCAGGUUUCAGCAUUGAUUAUGCAGGACCUUCUUAGAUUGCAUUAUGUAUCUGAUGCAACUCUUGGUAAACUUUCAAUAUACAUAGUGAAAUUUACCACAAAAUUCAUUUCCACCCAGUGUGAUGAUCCACAUGAUUUUCCCAGUACAUCAUGAAGUCAAAAAUAAUUAAAAAUUUGCACUCUGGCAUAUAAUGCUUUGUUGUUUUCCUUGGAAGAAUAGCAAUUUCCAAUUCCUCUUGUUCUUUUCUAUACCUGGAACUUUCUCUGGUUCUUCUUUCAGCUUGAUGAUAUCAGCACUGAUGUUGUCAAACAUUGACACAAAUUGGUUACUGUUAGCAUUAUGUUAGAUAGGUCCCUAAUUUAACAUCAAGGGGUUCACUUCAUUUAGCCACGAUGUUUCUUUUGGUGAUAUGAUGGAGAUAAGGAAGUUAUUUUUUCCUGUAACUGUCCGUAGUAUUGUUGACUCACUCUCUUACCUUAUUGAUAAUUUCAGGUUUCUGUACACAUGGGAGACCUUUCCAUCAACUGGAUUUUAGCAAUCCAUGGAUUCCAUCUAGUUGACUAAUUCUGAACAAUAUACUCAGGCAUAGGCCCCUCGGCAAUCUUUGGCUGCUAACUCUGGUUUAACAAUCAAGGAUUCCAUCUGAAGUGCUGCAAAGUUAUGAUCUAAAAGAGACACCUGUCAAGUGUAAUAGAUCUGAUCGCUAAAGUUAGAAGAUUGUUACUUUGACAUAGAAAAAGAAUCACAAAUAAUAAGUGGACAUUGCGCUUAAUAUGAAGGAACCAUAUCUUGGAAGGCUUUCCUUCAAGCUUCAGCAAAUACAAAUUGUAAUUCAAGAAGCUAUGACAUUAAACGGAAAUGAAAUGGUUAAAUUGAGAAGAAACAAACAGCAUUAGGAACUACCUGGGUCUCCAUCCAUUCUAUCAGUGUAAACAGGCAGUGGAUGAGAUAUGAAGGUAUAUCGUUAAAGAUCCAAUUACUCACAGGAGUUCCGUCAUAAACUAAGAGUCAGAGUGUAGAGGUGUAUGUGGUUUUCUUUAAUGAGAUCCUGUAAGUCUCGUUGCUGGUUAGGGCAGAAUUUAUGAACUGCCAAAAAAUUAUUCAAGCAUAGGAGGAACUGGGUGGUUAAUCAGUAUGCUGGGCACUUGCACUAUUGACUUUCAGUGAAACUUGGCUCUGGAUCACUUUAUUUGCAGAAACUGAAAUUUCAAGGGCAGGGUACUACUGAUUUGCACAUUCGUUUCAGGAAUGCAGCUGGCUUCAGAAGAUGGCACUACGGCUCUGUUUGUUUUUGCUUAGUUUAUAAUCUAAGCGUGGCCGAGAGAAGCGAAGAUUUUCUCGUUUCUCGCUUCUCGUAGUUUAAAUCUCUGAAGCGGAUUACCACAGAAGCGAAAAUAAGCGAGGCGUUUGGUGGGAUUAUCGCUUAUUUCCACGGAUAAACCGAUUAUAAUCGGAAACAAACAGGGCCUACAUGCUCUUGUUGAUGGAUUUCAUAAUUGUGGGUGCCAUCUAUCACGUGAAUACUAUAUAAAAACGGAAGUGACCAUUUAAUAGUA